This 22-nucleotide microRNA is filed under the name Salicornia europaea (common glasswort). RNAcentral's name for it is "seu-miR11036". Lineage: Eukaryota; Viridiplantae; Streptophyta; Magnoliopsida; Caryophyllales; Amaranthaceae. The record is from miRBase by way of RNAcentral.
UUUGGAUGAAUAUGAGGAUGAA